This 279-nucleotide ribosomal RNA is filed under the name uncultured bacterium. RNAcentral's name for it is "partial 16S ribosomal RNA". It matches the Rfam family "Bacterial small subunit ribosomal RNA", at positions 506 to 784 of the family's 1533-position model. The record is from RNAcentral.
UGCCAGCCGCCGCGGUAAUACGGAGGGUGCGAGCGUUAAUCGGAAUCACUGGGCGUAAAGCGUACGCAGGUGGCAAAGUCAGUCAGGCGUGAAAGGCCUGGGCUCAACCUGGGAACUGCCCUUAAUACUGACGAGCUUGAGACCGAGAGGGGGUGGUGGAACUCCCAGUGUAGAGGUGAAAUUCGUAGAUAUUGGGAAGAACACCGGUGGCGAAGGCGACCACCUGGCUCGGAUCUGACGCUGAGGUGCGAAAGCGUGGGGAGCAAACAGGAUUAGAUA